This 409-nucleotide ribosomal RNA is filed under the name bacterium. Its description in RNAcentral is "partial 16S ribosomal RNA". It matches the Rfam family "Bacterial small subunit ribosomal RNA", at positions 355 to 776 of the family's 1533-position model. The record is from RNAcentral.
UGGGGAAUAUUGCACAAUGGGCGAAAGCCUGAUGCAGCGACGCCGCGUGAGGGAUGACGGCCUUCGGGUUGUAAACCUCUUUCAGCAGGGACGAAGCGCAAGUGACGGUACCUGCAGAAGAAGCACCGGCUAACUACGUGCCAGCAGCCGCGGUAAUACGUAGGGUGCAAGCGUUGUCCGGAAUUACUGGGCGUAAAGAGUUCGUAGGCGGUUUGUCGCGUCGUUUGUGAAAACCAGCAGCUCAACUGCUGGCUUGCAGGCGAUGCGGGCAGACUUGAGUACUGCAGGGGAGACUGGAAUUCCUGGUGUAGCGGUGAAAUGCGCAGAUAUCAGGAUGAACACCGGUGGCGAAGGCGGGUCUCUGGGCAGUAACUGACGCUGAGGAACGAAAGCGUGGGUAGCGAACAGG